This 1811-nucleotide long non-coding RNA is filed under the name Homo sapiens (human). RNAcentral's name for it is "HSALNT0163472". The record is from RNAcentral. Lineage: Eukaryota; Metazoa; Chordata; Mammalia; Primates; Hominidae.
UUGGUUUUGAACUCCUGGACUCAAGCAUCCUCCGGCCUUGGCCUCCCAGUGUUGGGAUUGCAGGUAUGAGCUGCCGUGCCUGGCUGGAUUGCAUUUUAGUAUAUUUGUCACAUCUUGUUCUUCAAAAUCUCCUGGUUCUAGAUGAAAUAGCACAAAAACUGGCAUCAGAAAGUGAAGUGGUCUGAAGAAUCCAGACACAGAACUCCUGCACUUCUUCAUCAAACAUGGAUGCCACCUUGGACUAGGAGGAUGAACCUGCCUGGGCGUGCCACAGUGGUGGGCCACCAACAGUGUAAAACAGGCUACAGUAACCAAAACAGCACGGUACUGGUACAAAAACAGACAUAUAGACCAAUGGAACAGAACAGAGAGCUCAGAAAUAACACAGAAAUAGCAUCACACAUCUACAACCAUCUGAUCUUCAACAAACCUGACAAAAACAAGGAAUGGAGAAAGGAUCUCCUAUUCAAGAAAUGGUGCUGGGAAAACUGACUAGCCAUAUGCAGGAAACUGAAACUGGACCCCUUCCUUAUACCUUAUACAAACAUUAACUCAAGAUGGAUUAAAGACUUAAAGGUAAAACCCAAAACCAUAAAAAUCCUAGAAGAAAAGCUAGGCAAUACUAUUCAGGACAUAGGCAUGGGCAAAGACUUCAUGACGAAAAUGCCAAAAGCAAUUGCAAAAAAGCCAAAAUUGACAAAUGGGACCUAAUUAAACUAAAGAGCGUCUGCACAGCAAAAACAAACAAACAAACAAACAAACAAACAAACAAACAAACAAACUAUCAUCAGAGUGAACAGGCAACCUACUGAAUGGGAGAAAAUUUUUGUAAUCUACCCAUCUGACAAAGGUCUACUACCCAGAAUUUACAACGAACUUAAAACAAAUUUAUAAGAAAAAAAACAAACGACUCCAUCAAAAAGUGGGCAAAGAAUAUGAACAGAUACUUCUCAAAAGAAGACAUCUACAUGGCCAACAACCAUAUGAAAAAAAGCCCAAUAUCACUGAUUAUUAGAGAAAUGCAAAUCAAAAUCACAAUGAGAUAGCAUCUCACACCAGUCAGAAUGGCGAUUAUUAAAAAGUCAAGAAACAAUAGAUGCUGGCAAGGCUGUGUAGAAAUAGAAACACUUUUACACUGUCGGUGGGAAUGUAAAUUAGUUCAACAGUUGUGGAAGACAGUGUGGUGAUUCCUCAAGGAUCUAGAACCAGAAAUACCAUUUGACCCAGCAAUCCCAUUACUGGGUAUAUACCCAAAGGAUUAUAAAUCAUUCUACUAUAAAGACACAUGCACAUAUGUUUAUUGCAGCACUCUUCACAAUAGCAAAGACUUGGAACCAACCAAAAUGCCUAUCAAUGAUAGACUGGAUAAAGAAAAUGUGGCACAUAAACACCAGGGAAUACUAUGCAACCAUAAAAAAGGAUGAGUUCAUGUCCUUUGCAGGGACGUGGAUGAAGCUGGAAGUCAUCAUCCUCAGCAAACUAACACAGGAACAGAAAACCAACACUGCAUGUUCUCACUCAUAAAUGGGAGUUGAACAAUGAGAACACAUGGACACAGGGAGGGAAACAACACACACCAGGGCAUGUUGGGGGAUGGGGAGUGAGGGGAGAGAACUUAGAGGACAGGUCAAUAGGUGCAGCAAAUCACCAUGGCACAUGUAUAUCUAUGUAACAAACCUGCAUGUUCUGCACAUGUAUCCCAGAAAUUAAAGUAAGAUUAAAAAUCAAUCAAUCAAUCAAUCAAGUCCAAAUUCAUCCUUUAGCAUGUGGAUAUUCAGUUGUCCCAACACCAUUUGUUAAGACUGUCUUUU